Long non-coding RNA from Mauremys reevesii (Reeves's turtle), 717 nucleotides. RefSeq lists it as uncharacterized. The record is from RefSeq and is a predicted model, not a curated record. NCBI's taxonomy places the organism in Eukaryota, Metazoa, Chordata, Testudines, Geoemydidae. The transcript is spliced from 3 exons.
GAACGUUCCAAGCAUCCUUUGGCGUGAGCUUAAAUGCUUCCCCAAUUCAUUCUGGACCUGGAAACCAGAAUGGAAGGGUUGGUGAUUGUUCUGACUUGCUGACAUGAUGGUACAAGAGUAAAGAUAUCGCCAGUCCAAGCACUGUCAUCUGAUUUUGGAAGGAGGCAUCAUUACAUCAAUUCAGUAAAGCCCUGCACCCCACAAAAGAGAUUCAAUUUCUCAGGUUAACCACUUCUGAGCAACCCAGAGUGGGAUAAAGAAACGGCUGCAAAGUGCUAUUCUGUUGUUAGGGGCCAGUCUCAUUCUUACUUCCAAUACUUGGAAAGGAACCCACCUCUACUGAGAGAAGGUCCUGAAAAAGAUGACUGGCACAGUGAAGAGAGAAAGACCCCACUAUGAGACUGUCCGGUUUGGCCAAUGUACAUGGCAGAGGGGCAUUGCUGGAUAGUAUACUAGUCCAUCCAACUCCUGCAAAACAAAGCAAUUCAUGGAAAUGCAAGAGAAACUAAAGACAUGGAAUUUUCCCUGCACAUCCUAUCUCAAACUUAAAGACAGUAUAAGGCAAGCUGCUAAACCAGCGUAGAGGGUGAGGCAGGUAAGGAAUUAACAAAGACUCAUGCAGACUUGCUGCAGGGCAGCUCAGAGUUACUCUCCUGUCAGACAUCCCCUAGGGAAAAGUCAGAAGAAAUGGUCUGGGUCUGAGCACUUCUUGCGUGA